UCCGCAUCGUAGUGACCUGCGGAGGAUCAUUACCGAGUGAGGGCCCUCUGGGUCCAACCUCCCACCCGUGUUUAUUUUACCUUGUUGCUUCGGCGGGCCCGCCUUAACUGGCCGCCGGGGGGCUUACGCCCCCGGGCCCGCGCCCGCCGAAGACACCCUCGAACUCUGUCUGAAGAUUGAAGUCUGAGUGAAAAUAUAAAUUAUUUAAAACUUUCAACAACGGAUCUCUUGGUUCCGGCAUCGAUGAAGAACGCAGCGAAAUGCGAUACGUAAUGUGAAUUGCAAAUUCAGUGAAUCAUCGAGUCUUUGAACGCACAUUGCGCCCCCUGGUAUUCCGGGGGGCAUGCCUGUCCGAGCGUCAUUGCUGCCCUCAAGCCCGGCUUGUGUGUUGGGCCCCGUCCCCCGAUCUCCGGGGGACGGGCCCGAAAGGCAGCGGCGGCACCGCGUCCGGUCCUCGAGCGUAUGGGGCUUUGUCACCCGCUCUGUAGGCCCGGCCGGCGCUUGCCGAUCAACCCAAAUUUUUAUCCAGGUUGACCUCGGAUCAGGUAGGGAUACCCGCUGAACUUAUUAUAUCAAUAAACGGAAAGUGAGGACACUAAGGGUCCGACCUCCCAACAGUGAUUAUGUUACCUUGUUGCUUCGGCGGGCCCGCCUUAACUGGCCGCCGGGGGGCUUACGCCCCCGGGCCCGCGCCCGCCGAAGACACCCUCGAACUCUGUCUGAAGAUUGAAGUCUGAGUGAAAAUAUAAAUUAUUUAAAACUUUCAACAACGGAUCUCUUGGUUCCGGCAUCGAUGAAGAACGCAGCGAAAUGCGAUACGUAAUGUGAAUUGCAAAUUCAGUGAAUCAUCGAGUCUUUGAACGCACAUUGCGCCCCCUGGUAUUCCGGGGGGCAUGCCUGUCCGAGCGUCAUUGCUGCCCUCAAGCCCGGCUUGUGUGUUGGGCCCCGUCCCCCGAUCUCCGGGGGACGGGCCCGAAAGGCAGCGGCGGCACCGCGUCCGGUCCUCGAGCGUAUGGGGCUUUGUCACCCGCUCUGUAGGCCCGGCCGGCGCUUGCCGAUCAACCCAAAUUUUUAUCCAGGUUGA
This 1084-nucleotide ribosomal RNA is filed under the name Aspergillus fumigatus. RNAcentral's name for it is "eukaryotic LSU rRNA". The stretch from base 209 to 361 matches the Rfam family "5.8S ribosomal RNA". Lineage: Eukaryota; Fungi; Ascomycota; Eurotiomycetes; Eurotiales; Aspergillaceae. The record is from RNAcentral.